RNAcentral lists this ribosomal RNA (492 nucleotides) under uncultured bacterium. Its description in RNAcentral is "partial 16S ribosomal RNA". It matches the Rfam family "Bacterial small subunit ribosomal RNA", at positions 29 to 507 of the family's 1533-position model. The record is from RNAcentral.
AGUGAACGCUGGCGGUAGGCCUAACACAUGCAAGUCGAACGGCAGCACAGUAAGAGCUUGCUCUUACGGGUGGCGAGUGGCGGACGGGUGAGGAAUACAUCGGAAUCUACUUUUUCGUGGGGGAUAACGUAGGGAAACUUACGCUAAUACCGCAUACGACCUACGGGUGAAAGCAGGGGAUCUUCGCACCUUGCGCGAUUGAAUGAGCCGAUGUCGGAUUAGCUAGUUGGCGGGGUAAAGGCCCACCAAGGCGACGAUCCGUAGCUGGUCUGAGAGAAUGAUCAGCCACACUGGAACUGAGACACGGUCCAGACUCCUACGGGAGGCAGCAGUGGGGAAUAUUGGACAAUGGGCGCAAGCCUGAUCCAGCCAUACCGCGUGGGUGAAGAAGGCCUUCGGGUUGUAAAGCCCUUUUGUUGGGAAAGAAAAGCAGCAGGUUAAUACCCCGCUGUUCUGACGGUACCCAAAGAAUAAGCACCGGCUAACUUCGUG